This 307-nucleotide ribosomal RNA is filed under the name Prymnesium parvum. RNAcentral describes it as "partial Bacterial small subunit ribosomal RNA". It matches the Rfam family "Bacterial small subunit ribosomal RNA", at positions 1184 to 1499 of the family's 1533-position model. The record is from RNAcentral. Lineage: Eukaryota; Haptophyta; Prymnesiales; Prymnesiaceae.
GUCAAGUCCUCAUGGCCCUUACGCCCAGGGUGGCAAACGUGCUACAAUGGCGUGUACAAAGCGAUGCAAUAUCGUGAGAUGGAGCAAAUCGCAAAAAGCACGCCCCAGUUCGGAUUGGAGUCUGAAACUCGACUCCAUGAAGCCGGAAUCGCUAGUAAUCGGAGAUCAGCCACGCUCCGGUGAAUACGUUCCUGAGCCUUGUACACACCGCCCGUCAAGUCAUGGAAGCCGGGAGUGCCCGAAGUCGCUCUGAUUCAGGAGUGCCCACGGCAAGUUCGGUAACUGGGACUAAGUCGAAACAAGGUAG